This 576-nucleotide ribosomal RNA is filed under the name Oppomorus noduliferus. Its description in RNAcentral is "Morula nodulifera partial 12S ribosomal RNA". Lineage: Eukaryota; Metazoa; Mollusca; Gastropoda; Neogastropoda; Muricidae. The record is from RNAcentral.
GCCAGCAGCCGCGGUUAAACCAAGAUGAUCAAACUAUAUAUCUACGGUGAAAAAAUAGUUAAACUUAAUAAAGUUUGUUAAACAUUUACAGAAGAGUAAAAUCUGAAUAUAGAUAGAAAAUCCCACCUAGACUUACAUGUUGAAGCUAUGAAAACCUUGAGGGAAACUGGGAUUAGAUACCCCAUUAUUCUUGGACAUAAAAUAAUUAUGAUUUACCCGAGUACUAUGAAUUAACAAUUUAAAACUUAAAGGGCUUGGCGGUGUUUUAGACCUCUUAGGGGAACCUGUCUCGUAAUCGACAGUCCACGUAAAACCUAACCUUUUUUUGCAGUCAAUUUGUAUACCGUCGUCGUCAGGUAACUUUUUAGAAGAAAGAAGUUAGCAAUCAAAUGAUAAUAGAUUUAUACGUCAGAUCAAGGUGCAGUUAAUAAAAAGGAGAGGAUGGGUUACAAUUAUGCAAUUAUAACUACGAAGAAAUCCCUUGAAACAGGAUUAUGAAGGAGGACUUGAAAGUAAGAUAUAAUAUAUAAGCAUUCUGAAUCAGGCUCUGAAACGUGCACACAUCGCCCGCCACUC